UACGAAGGGGGCUAGCGUUGCUCGGAAUCACUGGGCGUAAAGCGCACGUAGGCGGAUUGCUAAGUCAGGGGUGAAAUCCUGGAGCUCAACUCCAGAACUGCCUUUGAUACUGGCGAUCUUGAGUCCGGGAGAGGUGAGUGGAACUGCGAGUGUAGAGGUGAAAUUCGUAGAUAUUCGCAAGAACACCAGUGGCGAAGGCGGCUCACUGGCCCGGUACUGACGCUGAGGUGCGAAAGCUAGGGGAGCGAACAGG
Molecule: ribosomal RNA, 253 nt
Filed under: uncultured bacterium
Lineage: Bacteria
Description: partial 16S ribosomal RNA
Rfam family: Bacterial small subunit ribosomal RNA
Source: RNAcentral